UUCUCUCAUUCUCAAGCCUCAAUCGCUCAUUGGCAAGCUUCUCUCUCUCCAUUUCUCUCUCCUUCUUGGUGCUAAAUUUCAACCAUUUUAAUCGCUGCUUUUCAAGCUCAAAAGCUUGAAACUGGAUGCCAACACGCUGACCCUCCAGGUGCAUCAAUCUUGCAUCGAUCCACUGUCUUCUCUCAAAUGGACUCUUAGUUCCAUCUUGCAACAUAUUCACCAAUUCCAUAUUCAAUUGUUGAAUCAAAGGCGAAUUGAAUACGCUCUGCUUCUUCCUUGAAGAUCUACCAUCUGUGUCAUUGACGUCCCCAUGAUCGUGAUUGUGACCUCUUGAUCCUCGAUCAACCACCUCAUCAUUAUCCUCAUAGCUGUCUCUAUCAUCUUCAUCUCCUAACUGAGGUCCAUUUAGACGGAAACCGUCCGAAACACAAUUAGUUGACCAUGAAAAUUCCUUGAAUUAUCUGCUAUCGUCACGAUUUUAUUGGAUAUUGAUAUCUUUUUGGACGGUGUUUUGGACAAUUUUAUUGCAUGUUGAUUCUUUAAUUUUUCCAUUUUUGACGGUUUUCGUCCAGAUGGACCUUAGAUUCAUAUUUGUGAAAGGUUAGAAACUUAUAUUGGUACAAAAUGAAAGUUAGAGUAAAAUCUGCAAAAAAUGAAAAUGUUAAAAAUCGUUGCUACAAUUUUCCCAAAAGAAAAUCUCAAACGUUUGGGUGAGAAGAGGACGAAAUUGGUAAUUAAUCAAAGGUAACCAUCUGGUCCCGUUAAACGCCUGCCCUAUCUAUAUCACUGACAACUUGCUUUCCUUUUCUCAUGCCUCUUUCACAAGCUAGUCCCCCACUCCCUAGCCCACCCCAACUUGAGGUGCUUCUUAGAUCCUAAGAUGGAAACAUAAAAUCAGUAGUACACAAACUCAAUCUUUAUCUUAAAAGAUCAGUCUUAUCGAGAGAACUAAUUUAUACCAUACAUGUUGAUUAUUAUAUUCAUCCUUAGUUCGAUGUAAAAAUUUAUCUUGUUUGUUAUUGAUUUAAAUCAUAUUUUAAUAUAAAUCAAAGUCAAACAAUCAAUAUUAAUAACACAUUUCAUUGGUUCCACAAUUUUUCAGCCACAUAUUUCAAUUUUUUUUUUUUUAUAUAAAAAUCUACAAAAAAUCUAAUUUUGAUAUCCACUAAACAAGGUUUCUUCGACAUAAUUAGUGGCAAUUUUAUAAGAAUACCAAUAUUAGAAUUUGAUUGCUCGUUGAGCUUCUAAUGGCUUGAAUUGUUCAUUUAAACUUAAUAGAUUGUGAUGCCAUAUUGAUCUUGAAAUUCAAUCUUACACCCGUCCGUGUGAUGAUGCUAAUUCAAAAAACCCCAAUAGGAAAAAAUGUGAUCUUGUUGUGUCUGUCAAAAUGCAAUAACAGGAGUGAGAGAAUUCGUGGGUGUUUAUACGGUGCAUAUAUAUACAGCAUUAGCUGGUAUUAGUUUUGGGUUGCCCGAGGGCAUAUCUCCCAAUGGCAAAUGAGAGGGCGGAUAGGGUUCAGCGCGGCAGUGUGCAGAGUUCGAUUCCUCGCAAGAUGGAAUUGACUUUGUUGCAAGCGGGAGUUACCAUAUGGGUUAACAGUCUUGGCCUAUCCAUAUGCUCUCCACCCUGACUCCUGGGAGACACAUCCUGCGAUUUACCUCUUCCACGAUGGCCCAAAACAGGGUCAGUGGAGACCCUUAAGGUUCGGGUUCAACCUUUUUUUUUUGUAUUAGUUUUGGGUUUCCAUUUGAUGGCAGAAAGAAACUGUUAAAUUGAAUUCGAUAUAAUAAUGAAUAAAAUUUUAAUUUUUAAAAUUAUUAAGUAAUUAUCUAAUUUAUCCUACUAGACGUAUCAAAGUUUUAUUUAUUUUAUUUUAUGGGCUCCAUUGAUAUAUUAGAUCGUGCAAUAUUGAAAAUAAUUAGAAAAAGGAAAGCAAAAUCUAUAUCUAUAGUUUUGUGCAGCUUUAUUUAAUUUAUGUUUGGCUUUCAUUUUUUAAAAUUUAUUUUUUUCUCAAAUUCAUUUUCUAUCAUACAUUUCAUGAAACCUAAAACUUUUGGUUGAUUUCACUUACCCAAAAGAAUGUAGUAAUGUUUCAUUCCACUCGAUCCACUAGUCACUUGGUGCCCCCGCUUAGGUAUUGAGUUAUUCUAGAUCCAAAAUAAUGUGAGCAAAAUGCAUGCUACUUCGACUACACUAUUUGAUACUUGUUUAUUUUUCACUUAUAUAAAAAAUAGGGUGAAGAGAUUAAAGUGCAAAAAUUAUAUUUAUAGGAAUUGAGCAAUUAAUGAAACAUGUCCCCAAGGCGCCGAUACCCUAAUCUUGCUAUUGUAUUUCACAUGGAAGAAUUAGUUGGUAAUAAAGUGGUGUGAAGGUACAAGAAACACCACAAGUGCCUGCUUGUACCCACAUAAAGGACCUAUCUACAAGUUUGUGUUGAUUAGAUUGCUUUGGUUUAUGCAACUCAACAUAGGAUGAACAGAGGAUAAUAUUCGUAUUUUCUUUUCCAUUGACGAAUCUAUACACUCUCGUCUCGGGAUUAUUAUAUUGAAUACAUGCAACUUUGAUCUAAUGUCCAUCAUGGACAUGACAACAUCAAUACUAUCACGUUUAAGGUGGACAUUACAACGAAUGCCCAUCGUGAGCAUUAGAUCAUGUGUAUGAAUAUAUAUAUCUUAACAAUAUUUUAGAUUUUGUUCUCAAAGUAAUUUCACUUGAUUCUUGAACUUGAUAAGAGUUAAAAUUCUUUGUUAUGGAAGAUCUAACUAUUCGAUGGAUAUCAAAAUACGUCACCCAAUGUAAAUGAAGGAGAAAUUCCAUCAUCAUAUAGUGAACCAACCAAUGUAUUAAUGAAAUUUUAUGACGUGACUCGAAUUUGCAACUUUAAGCUAUGCAAUUUUAUUCAAAAAAUCAAUGGAAUAGUGAUUUUACCGUCUAUUAAAUCCUUGGGUCAUCUCUUCAUGAGGGAAUGAACAAAAAACUAAAUUUCUCAACGCCCAACUUAAAAACAACCACUUUCGUUUAAAAAAAAAAAAAAGGACGAUAAAAACACCCUAAUUAAACAAUAAUAAAAACCCCAACCAAAAGAAGAACAAAAAGAACAUAAAUACAUUUAUCUCUCGGAUGACACCAUUUCAUGGUCUGCCCACAAGCAUUAACCGUUGCCGGUCGAUCAGUCAUCAGUGUGCCAUUAGGUCUGACAUGAACAUGGGAUUUGCGUAGAAUUAUGUUAAAUAUAAAUAUGGCACCGAAUGACACUCAAAAGCAUAGUGAACGCGAUUUUCUACAUCUUAUUUAAUAUUUUGGUAUAGUAUACAAUUCGUCUUACUAAACAAACCAAUAUAGUAGUGUAAUGAUUAUACUUAAAAUUUAAUAGGAUAAUCUGAGAGCGCGUUUGAUUCAUUGGAAGGAACGAAUCAAAAAAUCUAAGCACAACUACUUUAAUAUUGUUCAAUCAUGUUCAGCUUCUUAUAUCAAAUGUGCCUGAUGAGUAAUUUCAUUAGCAACAUAAAAGAAUGUCCUAAUACAGUAGUAGUGGAACUAAUGGCCUGUUUCCAUCGAAAUUUUUUCAAUUUUUGGUAUGUUUGAUGGCAAUAAUUUUCUUGGUAAUUUGUUUUUCCUUCUUCCCUCCAUACAUGUGCAAUUUCCUUGGUUUUGUGGAAAUAAAAAUUGGUUUUCCGGUUGAUUAUUUAUUUAUUUUUUAAUUUCUUGACAAUUGGAACAAAUUUUAUCCCCAAUUAGAACAAAUUUUGUCCCUUUAAUUAAUAAUUUUCAUGAAAAACAAAGUCAAACGAACACUAUAAAAUUUUAAUAUUUUUCAAAUGAAAAAUUAUACCAAUCAAACAUAUUAAUUGACAAUUAUCAGGAAAACGAAUUCUAGACAAUUUAAUUCCUUGGAAUUCAUUUUCUUCACACCCAAAUUCCAUUCUUACAAUCAAACAGACCCUAAAUUCAAUCCAACAUAUUAAUCCUGCCAUACCAUGGCAGAUCCACAUGAGUUUAUGUGGGACAACUCAGAGAAUUUUCUAAUUUUGUUUGUUUUUGUGUUUUUAACCUAUUCUCAAAAUCUGGUUAUCCACCUUUAGCGGCUUCGAUGAAUGCCUCAAAACCAAGCAAAUAAGGGUUCGAUCCAUAAAAAUAAUUGUAUGGUAAUUUUGACGUUCACAAUAAAAAAUAUCAAAUUCCGCGACUAAUACCAUAUAACUUAUUCGAAUUAGUGGAUAUCACUAUAUUGACGUAUUCCUAAAAUUUUCCCUAAGCAAGAUGCCUACAUGCAUUAAAGAUAUCAUGGUACAAGUCCUACUCUAUAACUAAAUACAUCUAAGGAGAACGCGUAGUAGUACCCACCCGGCAGGAGCAGCAACGCCGCCUAAGAUUGGGUGCAGACUUGUGGCCCCGUAAAGCUUCAUCAAGAAGCAAUUAAUGGGAAGGCAAUUUUUACAAGGGAUCAGCACCAACUACAUAACCGCAGGCAUCAGCCCUUGCUUGACCUCUAUUUUUUUUUUUUUAUUAAUUUUCAAUCAUAUAUUCUCUCGUAAAAUAAUUUUACACUCAAAUUCAAAACUUUUAUCUACUUUUUAACAACACAUUCUACAAAAAAUUACUAAUUCAAAAGAUAUUUUCCCCCAAAAAAAGGGUUCAAAGAAGACAAAAUUUCAAAAAAAUUUAGUCCUUUAAAUCAAUUAAUGGGAAGGCAUGAGUAGUUAAAAAAGUCAAGUGAUUUAUUGAAGUCGAUGUUCAUUUACGAAAUAGUACAAAUUUCAUAGCUGUGCUUGGACGUAAGUAGCAGUGUUGAAGUUUUAAGAGAUUUUAUGGCUACGGUCAAAAAGUGUUUGUUCACCAAAAAAGGCCAAAAAAAAAAAAGUCUUUAAAAAUUAUUUUAAAGAUGCACAAAUUUUUAACUUUCGGAAAGCUCCACAUUCACUGUUAUGAAAAAUUGAAAUAUGAUUUUAAUAAAACUUUAAAGUUUUUAAAUAUUUCAAAUUUAUACCAAAAGGUAAAAGGAAAGAAUAAUCCUAUCUUUCACCCCACCCAAUUAAGAGUAAUGUUAUUCGUAGUCGCUCACUAAGACAGUUGACAUUCGUGACAUAUACAUGACAUGUGAUUUUUUUAUGCAUUAGUGAAAUAUAAAAAAGUUAAAGUUUUUUUUUUUUUUUUUUUCCUUUUCUUACCUUGUAAAACAAAUUAUAUGGAUUUUAUUUUAUACAUUUAAGUAAUAAAAUCUAGUUAAUUAACAAAUUUAUCUCAAUUAUUCGUUGCAGUUAAAACACGCCCGUAAAUCGAAGUUCAUACAAGCAGUUUUACGCAUAGUUCUGAUUGGGAUAAAUUAACAGGUUUGCGUUCUACAAAACAUAAUCUAUUGUUGAAUUAAAUAAAGAUGAACACCAAAUAUAAAGUGGUAAACUGGUAAACUACUAAGGAAAACAUCCACGGGCUUCCAAAUCACGGGAAAAAUAAUCUACAAUCACAAAAUAAAAAAUACAAUGUUUCAUUUUAAUAAUUUCGCAAAAUUAACUAAAAAAAUCAAAAGCAAAUACAAAACAACUCAUUUGUUUCCUUAUUCAUUUUGACUUGUUGGAAAAGUGAAGUCAAACUCUCUGAUCUUGACUUUAUUACCACUUCACUAUUGUAUUCAAUUGUAACCACUCCUUGGAUUAAAAUUCACCAAUCUUAACUCACGCUAAGUAGCUUGACCUUUGAGUCGAUUAUAUCAUUCAUACACAAGUAUGUUCUCUUCAAUUACAGUUGAAGAACACAAUUUUUGCUUUAAGGUACUUGACUAAAACAUCAACUGAUCAGAACUCAUUGAAGAGGUCAGAUGACUUCAGAACUUGCUACCGCAAGUUCGCUGAACAUGGACAAAUUUCCUUUUCACAUCCUUUAAUGAUUUCCUUUACUUAUAUAAAGGCUCCUCCAGGACACAAAUGUGUCUUAACUAAAGUAAGAAAGUUUUAUUAAAAAUCAUUUUAAUUUAAGCAAAUAAAUAAAUAAAUAUUGAGUAAAAAUAUAAAAUAUAUUUUAUUAUUUACUAAACAUAUUAGCUUAGUACAAAAUAAAUAAAUAUCUGGCUCCACCCACCAACUUGACGAUUUCCUAGCAUUAUGUGUAAUAACUUAUUUUCUUCUAAAGUAAUUGUUAAAAUAUAUAACUAUAUUUAUCUUUCACCAACCCCAAAAAAAUAAAUAAAUUCAUUCAAAAGUUACUUGAAAGUAAACUUUUCAUGCUUAAUCAGACAUGCUCAAAGUGAGACAUUUUUGAGAUGAUGUGGUUACAUCAGUAUCUCAAUUUCAAUUCAAAUAUGAAUUUGAUUCACUCUCCAUAUUCUGAGAAAUAUUUACCAUCCGAAAAGAAUGACGUAGUUACAGGGACACAAGGUGAUUCCAUUGUGAAAAACGUAAAAGUUCACAGAAGAUUAUUGGAGUUAACAAAUAACAAGAUUGAGGUGAAAUAAAUUUCUAGGCAUAUAAUAGCCGUAGAAAAAUAUUUACUGAUAAAGAUUUCAAAUCUGUCGUAGAAGUAAAUAUACGUUUCAAUCAUUCAGUGAUAAACACUCAUUUUCUCAUCAGGCAUCGCAUACGUGAACAAUUGUUAUAAACGGGAUAAACUGGCAGAUAGUAUCCUUUUUCUGGAAUAGCACCAUUAAGAAGCAAUGUCAGGUUACAUUCUGCCAUUGUUGAAACAGAGAAAGACUUGAAAGUUUUAGCAAGGCAAUUCAUUCUAUCGGGAACUAUAGUGAUUACCAAAUUGAAAUUCAAAUAACCUUUUAAGGAUUUUCAUGAAGUGCACGAGCUGCUACAAUUGUCAAAAGGUAAAUGUCUAAUUCGCUUUCAAAUCUACCUCUGUUCUCCAUUACAGUGUGGAGAGAUGGUGUUGGAAUGUGAAAGGUGAUAUUGGAAAAGCAUAUAACAAUUCUCUUAACAGAAAUGAAUACAGAUAUGAUCAGUUCUAAUAUGUCCAGCUCCGGUAUGGAAACUAGAUCAACAAAACUUGAGGCACAGAUCACAUGAAACUUGAACAUGAGAAACCAUAGUUGCGAUCUAGACAUGAAAUUUUGAAUGAUCUAUUGGGUAUUCAUAAACCAAAGUAUAUAAACCUGAGAAGUCAUGGAAGCAUAGAUCCUCUGCACCACUUUGGCUAGAAAAAAUUUUCUGCUGCUCUUACAGAUAUGAUUGUUCCUCCUCCUCCUCAAUAAAUGUCAUAGCAUCAUAAGCACAGACAUUGCUUUAUAAAAAAACUCGCAGCAGUAGAUUAAAGAGUCAAAAUGCUCAUAUUUAAAUCUUAUAUUGCAAAAGACCUGAUUCAGUAACAAAAUUUGGAAGAACAAAGCCCAAACAGCCUGUUUUUAUCUUUUGAUUUCUUCUAUCAUGCUAUGGAAUUGAUUUAUCUAGUAAUGGGGGAGGGGUCACCUAUCUUGUUGGACUAUAGCUAUUGGCGGUGAUGAUGAUGUUCAAGCAACUCGAGCUCCUUCUGGCGAAUUAGGAGAACCAUUCUCUCAUUCUCAAGCCUCAAUCGCUCAUUGGCAAGCUUCUCUCUCUCCAUUUCUCUCUCCUUCUUGGUGCUAAAUUUCAACCAUUUUAAUCGCUGCUUUUCAAGCUCAAAAGCUUGAAACUGGAUGCCAACACGCUGACCCUCCAGGUGCAUCAAUCUUGCAUCGAUCCACUGUCUUCUCUCAAAUGGACUCUUAGUUCCAUCUUGCAACAUAUUCACCAAUUCCAUAUUCAAUUGUUGAAUCAAAGGCGAAUUGAAUACGCUCUGCUUCUUCCUUGAAGAUCUACCAUCUGUGUCAUUGACGUCCCCAUGAUCGUGAUUGUGACCUCUUGAUCCUCGAUCAACCACCUCAUCAUUAUCCUCAUAGCUGUCUCUAUCAUCUUCAUCUCCGUCCUCAUCAUCAUCAUCGUCUUCAUCUUCCCCACUUGCCCCCUUGGACAAUUUAGAUCCCUCAUUUUCUCCUCUAUUCAAGUUAGGCAUUACUGGAGCAUUUACAGACGAAUGUAAACAUCUCUGCUGCUGUGACUGAAACUGAGUAUGGGAUGGCUCUGUUGCCACCUCCGCAGGUGAAUGUUGAUUACCACCA
This 8071-nucleotide long non-coding RNA is filed under the name Olea europaea (common olive). RNAcentral describes it as "long non-coding RNA (OEUR_LNC012982)". The record is from RNAcentral. Lineage: Eukaryota; Viridiplantae; Streptophyta; Magnoliopsida; Lamiales; Oleaceae.